RNAcentral lists this ribosomal RNA (390 nucleotides) under uncultured bacterium. RNAcentral describes it as "bacterial SSU rRNA". It matches the Rfam family "Bacterial small subunit ribosomal RNA", at positions 29 to 420 of the family's 1533-position model. The record is from RNAcentral.
AUUGAACGCUGGCGGCAUGCCUUACACAUGCAAGUCGAACGGCAGCACGGGGGCAACCCUGGUGGCGAGUGGCGAACGGGUGAGUAAUACAUCGGAACGUGCCCGAUAGUGGGGGAUAGCUCGGCGAAAGCCGGAUUAAUACCGCAUACGACCUACGGGUGAAAGCGGGGGAUCGCAAGACCUCGCGCUAUCAGAGCGGCCGAUGUCAGAUUAGGUUGUUGGUGGGGUAAAGGCCUACCAAGCCGACGAUCUGUAGCUGGUCUGAGAGGACGACCAGCCACACUGGGACUGAGACACGGCCCAGACUCCUACGGGAGGCAGCAGUGGGGAAUUUUGGACAAUGGGCGAAAGCCUGAUCCAGCCAUGCCGCGUGCGGGAAGAAGGCCUCGG